CGAGGCUCGUGAGCGCACGCAAUGUUGCUUCUCUCCAUGAAUGUUACUGUGUUACACGAGAGAGAGAGAGAAGCUGAAGCCCCGUUGAUCCACUGAUGAUCUCUCUGUUUACAGAUUAAAAAGGAAAAACAUUGGAUCUCA
Non-coding RNA from Pimephales promelas (fathead minnow), 141 nucleotides. The record is from RefSeq and is a predicted model, not a curated record. Lineage: Eukaryota; Metazoa; Chordata; Actinopteri; Cypriniformes; Leuciscidae.